UGAAAAAUUAUAGACCCAUCCUUUAAGAUGAAGUCUACUAAUGUUGCAUAGAAUCAUAACAGUUUUAAACAAUAUCAUAUCAUCUAAAUGUUAUUAACUGAAAGUAGCACUCACUCAUCAGAUAAGGCAGGUGAGCAAAUGUCACAUUAUGUUACCAUAAUGGUUCUCAAAUUUUUUCUGUCAAGCCCCCCUUUAGAAGCCGAAUGAAGUUCAAGCCCCCCGACACCAGCAAGAGUGGAUUACAUAUUUAUCAAUCAUUAACAACACGGACAACCGGAGCUUUACUCAACUCUGAAACUACACAUCAGAAAAAAAGUUGCCUGAAUCAAACAGCAGAGUUUCUAUAUGGUCACUAAGGUCUCAUGUACAGGCAACUUCCUGACUGCAUGUCCAGCAACUCUAAAUGAAACUGACUGGUAUAUUGCAUCGCAGGUGCUAAUUUGGGAGAGAUGCGUUGGAGAAAACCAUUACGAUACAGAUGAAUGAAUCAGAAACUGGAAUCCAAAAGACCAAGACAUCUGGGCUGAGCUUGAAUUCUUGGCUUGCUUAAGCAUCAAGAGUACGAAAGCCAAGAAUUAAAGCUCUUUGAUGUCACCAUUCAUUGCAAGAUGAUAGCACAUUCAGCACAGUAAAACCUCAGUGUUCCUGCUAAUGAUGACAGAGGAGGCCAAUAUAGCAGCAAGAUCCAGGGGAA
Long non-coding RNA from Micropterus dolomieu (smallmouth bass), 694 nucleotides. RefSeq lists it as uncharacterized. The record is from RefSeq and is a predicted model, not a curated record. The transcript has 3 exons. Lineage: Eukaryota; Metazoa; Chordata; Actinopteri; Centrarchiformes; Centrarchidae.